UUAUUUCUGAAAUAUUUGUGAAGCUCUUAUUUUGAACCUACAUUACUUAAAAGGGAGUUCAACAUUUAGAUGUGAAUUGACUCAUAAGUCCAACGUAAAUGGCAAGGUCUAUAAAGCAUCUGUGAGGACACCCACCUAUCGGAGAGAUAGGUGUCAAAAUUAGGGCAGCGGUAUUUUGGAUACUUU
This 186-nucleotide non-coding RNA is filed under the name Clostridium sp. HMP27. RNAcentral describes it as "6S / SsrS RNA". It matches the Rfam family "6S / SsrS RNA". Rfam says of the family: E. coli 6S RNA was the first non coding RNA to be sequenced, but its function was unknown until recently. Lineage: Bacteria; Bacillati; Bacillota; Clostridia; Eubacteriales; Clostridiaceae. The record is from Rfam by way of RNAcentral.